UCCGGUUUGUCACCGGCAGUCUGGUGUGAGUCCCCAACUUAAUGCUGGCAACACACCACGGGGGUUGCGCUCGUUGCGGGACUUAACCCAACACCUCACGGCACGAGCUGACGACGGCCAUGCAGCACCUUGCUUUGUGUCCCGAAGGAAAGGUCCAUCUCUGGACCGGUCACGCGCAUUCUAGCCUAGGUAAGGUUCCUCGCGUAUCAUCGAAUUAAACCACAUGCUCCACCGCUUGUGCAGGCCCCCGUCAAUUUCUUUGAGUUUUAACCUUGCGGCCGUACUCCCCAGGCGGAUAACUUAAUGCGUUAGCUGCGCCACCCAAGCACCAUGUGCCCGAAUAGCUAGUUAUCAUCGUUUACGGCGUGGACUAC
Molecule: unclassified non-coding RNA, 374 nt
Filed under: uncultured bacterium
Lineage: Bacteria
Description: contains 16S-23S intergenic spacer region
Source: RNAcentral